This 465-nucleotide ribosomal RNA is filed under the name Vreelandella stevensii. RNAcentral's name for it is "partial 16S ribosomal RNA". It matches the Rfam family "Bacterial small subunit ribosomal RNA", at positions 338 to 795 of the family's 1533-position model. Lineage: Bacteria; Pseudomonadati; Pseudomonadota; Gammaproteobacteria; Oceanospirillales; Halomonadaceae. The record is from RNAcentral.
CCUACGGGUGGCAGCAGUGGGGAAUAUUGGACAAUGGGGGGAACCCUGAUCCAGCCAUGCCGCGUGUGUGAAGAAGGCCCUCGGGUUGUAAAGCACUUUCAGUGAGGAAGAACGCCUGGUGGUUAAUACCCAUCAGGAAAGACAUCACUCACAGAAGAAGCACCGGCUAACUCCGUGCCAGCAGCCGCGGUAAUACGGAGGGUGCGAGCGUUAAUCGGAAUUACUGGGCGUAAAGCGCGCGUAGGUGGCUUGAUAAGCCGGUUGUGAAAGCCCCGGGCUCAACCUGGGAACGGCAUCCGGAACUGUCAAGCUAGAGGGCAGGAGAGGAAGGUAGAAUUCCCGGUGUAGCGGUGAAAUGCGUAGAGAUCGGGAGGAAUACCAGUGGCGAAGGCGGCCUUCUGGACUGACACUGACACUGAGGUGCGAAAGCGUGGGUAGCAAACAGGAUUAGAUACCCGAGUAGUC